RNAcentral lists this ribosomal RNA (822 nucleotides) under Arecanut yellow leaf disease phytoplasma. RNAcentral's name for it is "bacterial SSU rRNA". It matches the Rfam family "Bacterial small subunit ribosomal RNA", at positions 275 to 1108 of the family's 1533-position model. The record is from RNAcentral. Lineage: Bacteria; Bacillati; Mycoplasmatota; Mollicutes; Acholeplasmatales; Acholeplasmataceae.
CAUGAUGUGUAGCUGGACUGAGAGGUUGAACAGCCACAUUGGGACUGAGACACGGCCCAAACUCCUACGGGAGGCAGCAGUAGGGAAUUUUCGGCAAUGGAGGAAACUCUGACCGAGCAACGCCGCGUGAACGAUGAAGUAUUUCGGUAUGUAAAGUUCUUUUAUUGAAGAAGAAAAAAUAGUGGAAAAACUAUCUUGACGAUAUUCAAUGAAUAAGCCCCGGCAAACUAUGUGCCAGCAGCCGCGGUAAUACAUAGGGGGCGAGCGUUAUCCGGAAUUAUUGGGCGUAAAGGGUGCGUAGGCGGUUUAAUAAGUCUAUAGUUUAAUUUCAGUGCUUAACACUGUCCUGCUAUAGAAACUAUUAGACUAGAGUGAGAUAGAGGCAAGUGGAAUUCCAUGUGUAGCGGUAAAAUGCGUAAAUAUAUGGAGGAACACCAGAGGCGUAGGCGGCUUGCUGGGUCUUUACUGACGCUGAGGCACGAAAGCGUGGGGAGCAAACAGGAUUAGAUACCCUGGUAGUCCACGCCAUAAACGAUGAGUAUUAAGUGUCGGGAUUACUCGGUACUGAAGUUAACACAUUAAGUACUCCGCCUGAGUAGUACGUACGCAAGUAUGAAACUUAAAGGAAUUGACGGGACUCCGCACAAGCGGUGGAUCAUGUUGUUUAAUUCGAAGAUACACGAAAAACCUUACCAGGUCUUGACAUACUCUGCAAAGCUAUAGCAAUAUAGUGGAGGUUAUCAGGGAUACAGGUGGUGCAUGGUUGUCGUCAGCUCGUGUCGUGAGAUGUUAGUUAAGUCCUAAAACGAGCGCAACCCCUUG